CCCUUAGAUGUUCUGGGCUGCACGCGCGCUACACUGUCGGAUUCAGCGAGUCAUAUCCUUAACCGAAAGGUUUGGGUAAUCUUUUGAAAGUCCGACGUGAUGGGGAUUGAUCAUUGCAAUUAUUGAUCAUGAACGAGGAAUUCCUAGUAAGCGCGAGUCAUCAGCUCGCGUUGAUUACGUCCCUACCCUUUGUACACACCGCCCGUCGCUACUACCGAUUGAAUGGUUUAGUGAGAUCUUCGGAUUGGCGCCUACGCGGCUUCUCUGAGGCCACGCUGGAUGCCGAAAAGUUGCUCAAACUGUAUCAUUUAGAGGAAGUAAAAGUCGUAACA
RNAcentral lists this ribosomal RNA (332 nucleotides) under uncultured eukaryote. RNAcentral's name for it is "partial 18S ribosomal RNA". It matches the Rfam family "Eukaryotic small subunit ribosomal RNA", at positions 1470 to 1796 of the family's 1831-position model. The record is from RNAcentral.